ACCUGCCCAUUGGAAUCUAAAAGGCCGCGGUAUUAUGACCGUGCUAAGGUAGCAUAAUCAUUAGUCUUUUAAUUGAAGGCUGGUAUGAAUGGUUGGACAAGAAAUAAGCUGUCUUAAAUAAAAAUAUUGAAUUUAACUUUUAAGUGAAAAGGCUUAAAUUUUCUAAGGGGACGAUAAGACCCUAUAAAACUUUAUAUUUUAAAAUAAUAAUUAAUUUUAUAUAGAGGAUUUAUUUUUAAAUAUUUUAUUGGGGUGAUAAAGAUAAAAUGUAAGAUAACUGUCUUUUUUUUUUUACAAGUAAUAUUUGAGUAAAAGAUCUUAACAAAGGAAAUAAGAGAUUAAGUUACUUUAGGGAUAACAGCGUAAUUUUCUUUAAGAGUUCUUAUCGACAAGAAAGUUUGCGACCUCGAUGUUGAAUUAAAAGUUCUUUAUAGAGUAGAUAUUAUAAUAGAGGGUCUGUUCGACCCUUAAAAUUUUACGUG
This 482-nucleotide ribosomal RNA is filed under the name Pontastacus leptodactylus (narrow-clawed crayfish). RNAcentral describes it as "Astacus leptodactylus (narrow-clawed crayfish) partial large subunit ribosomal RNA". It matches the Rfam family "Bacterial large subunit ribosomal RNA", at positions 1857 to 2602 of the family's 2925-position model. The record is from RNAcentral. Lineage: Eukaryota; Metazoa; Arthropoda; Malacostraca; Decapoda; Astacidae.